RNAcentral lists this ribosomal RNA (673 nucleotides) under Pseudovibrio sp. AU579. RNAcentral's name for it is "bacterial SSU rRNA". It matches the Rfam family "Bacterial small subunit ribosomal RNA", at positions 56 to 776 of the family's 1533-position model. Lineage: Bacteria; Pseudomonadati; Pseudomonadota; Alphaproteobacteria; Hyphomicrobiales; Stappiaceae. The record is from RNAcentral.
UGCAGUCGAACGGAUCCUUCGGGAUUAGUGGCAGACGGGUGAGUAACGCGUGGGAAGCUACCUUGUGGUAGGGGACAACAGUUGGAAACGACUGCUAAUACCCUAUGAGCCCUAUGGGGGAAAGAUUUAUCGCCAUGAGAUGUGCCCGCGUUAGAUUAGCUAGUUGGUAAGGUAAUGGCUUACCAAGGCGACGAUCUAUAGCUGGUCUGAGAGGAUGAUCAGCCACACUGGGACUGAGACACGGCCCAGACUCCUACGGGAGGCAGCAGUGGGGAAUAUUGGACAAUGGGGGCAACCCUGAUCCAGCCAUGCCGCGUGUGUGAUGACGGCCUUAGGGUUGUAAAGCACUUUCAGCAGUGAAGAUAAUGACAUUAACUGCAGAAGAAGCCCCGGCUAACUUCGUGCCAGCAGCCGCGGUAAUACGAAGGGGGCUAGCGUUGUUCGGAAUCACUGGGCGUAAAGAGUACGUAGGCGGACUGAUAAGUUAGGGGUGAAAUCCCAAGGCUCAACCUUGGAACUGCCUUUGAUACUGUCAGUCUUGAGAUCGAGAGAGGUGAGUGGAACUCCGAGUGUAGAGGUGAAAUUCGUAGAUAUUCGGAAGAACACCAGUGGCGAAGGCGGCUCACUGGCUCGAUACUGACGCUGAGGUACGAAAGCGUGGGGAGCAAACAGG